UACGAAGGGGGCGAGCGUUGUUCGGAAUCACUGGGCGUAAAGCGUGCGUAGGCGGUUAUAAAAGUUAGAAGUGAAAGCCCAGGGCUUAACCUUGGAAUUGCUUUUAAUACUGUAUAACUCGAAUUCGGGAGAGGAUAGCGGAAUUGUCAGUGUAGCAGUGAAAUGCGUAGAUAUUGACAGGAACACCAGUGGCGUAAGCGGCUAUCUGGACCGACAUUGACGCUGAGGCACGAAAGCGUGGGGAUCAAACAGG
This 253-nucleotide ribosomal RNA is filed under the name uncultured bacterium. RNAcentral describes it as "partial 16S ribosomal RNA". It matches the Rfam family "Bacterial small subunit ribosomal RNA", at positions 524 to 776 of the family's 1533-position model. The record is from RNAcentral.